UUGAACGCUGGCGGCAGGCCUCACACAUGCAAGUCGAGCGGAUGAAGGGAGCUUGCUCCUGGAUUCAGCGGCGGACGGGUGAGUAAUGCCUAGGAAUCUGCCUGGUAGUGGGGGAUAACGUCCGGAAACGGGCGCUAAUACCGCAUACGUCCUGAGGGAGAAAGUGGGGGAUCUUCGGACCUCACGCUAUCAGAUGAGCCUAGGUCGGAUUAGCUAGUUGGUGGGGUAAAGGCCUACCAAGGCGACGAUCCGUAACUGGUCUGAGAGGAUGAUCAGUCACACUGGAACUGAGACACGGUCCAGACUCCUACGGGAGGCAGCAGUGGGGAAUAUUGGACGAUGGGCGAAAGCCUGAUCCAGCCAUGCCGCGUGUGUGAAGAAGGUCUUCGGAUUGUAAAGCACUUUAAGUUGGGAGGAAGGGCAGUAAGUUAAUACCUUGCUGUUUUGACGUUACCAACAGAAUAAGCACCGGCUAACUUCGUG
Molecule: ribosomal RNA, 483 nt
Filed under: uncultured bacterium
Lineage: Bacteria
Description: partial 16S ribosomal RNA
Rfam family: Bacterial small subunit ribosomal RNA
Source: RNAcentral